UUCAAUUUCGAAGUCUUGAUUUCAUAUCGAUCUCACGUGUAUGCACAUAUAAUCUAAGAAACAGAGAUAGCUCGUUAUCAAUUGCAUAAGAAGUAACACAUCAAAUUAAACUACAAACAUUGAAGACUAAAAAAACAAAAAAAAAGAAAAGAAAGAAAGAAGAAGAAAUAAUUACUUAAAGGCGGUAUAACAUGUGACCAUCUUCUUCUAUAUAUAUAUAUAUAUAUAUGGCAACUCCUUACCAGCUGAUACCUUAUAUAUAUAUAUAUAUAAUCUCCCUCAUCUUCAGAUGCUUACAUGACAACGCGUUGCCAGCUGAUACUUAACGACGUUGUCACCAACCAUAAUUCCACUAGUUCUGCUACCAAACUGAAUAUAAGCAGGACACCUAACAUGCAAAUUGUAUUUCGCAGAGAUAAAGGUUCCGACUUUGAAUCGAACUCGACCAUCAAUCUUGAUCAUCAGCAUCACAACUCCAGCACCUUGGUCUUGACUUAAUGCAGCUGAAUUGUACGGAGAUACCGGCACGGAGUUGCCGUAAAUAAAAGGAGACCAAACAUUAGUCUCUUCGUGUCCUUGGUAAGAAGUAGGUAUGGAAGUUCGUAGAGUUAUUUGUUGGUCACGGUAUGUGCCAUAAAUAUCGAGUCUAUCAUAGUAGAUUCCGACUCUAUCAUCCGGGUUGCGAGAGGAUACGGUGACUUGGAAGUUGGAAGUGAUGAAAUUUGGAUAUGAAACGUUAAAGGCGUAAACCGUAGCAUCUUGGAGGAUGAAUUUUGGUUUUGAAGGACGGAGGAUGGCCCAAACUAUGAGGAUUACGAUGAGGGCAAUGAGGAGGAAGGUUAGGAUUACGGCGAAUAACAGGCGGACGAGUCUUGGGCGUGUGUGGCCGUGGUUGCCGCUGUCUUUCUUGGAUGUCAUGUUGGAGGAGUUGGCGGUGGAGAAGUGGAGAGAAAGAGAGUAGCUUUGUGAGGAAGAUUCUCCGAGGGAAGUGUGGAGUUAUUAAGAGUUCGAGGGAGUGAGUGAGAGAGAGGAUUUUGGGGUUCUUUGCUUAAUGCGGGGGUUGUAUUGACGGUGCCGUGAGAUAAACGCGUUGUGUUAUGGGUGUGUAUUAAGGUCUUGUAAUAAGAUGUGAAAUGGUGAUUAGUGCUUUUAUUUUCUUCAGUUUGUGCGGUAGUGGUAGGACUUGGGAGGGUUCUAGCUUAAAGUUUUAUGUGAUUAAUGGGAUUUAAUUGUUAAAUUGGAGGAUACUUGUAUUAGGUCCCUUUUUGUAAUUAACGUUGUGACCAAUUUAUUUGAGGCUUUUUUAGAACAUAAUGAUGAGUAAUUUAAUAACUUUUACUUUUGAAAAUUCUAUGUAUACAUGAGCCUAUGAGAAAAACUUAUGUAUAAGAUAAUGUUUUUUUUUUUUUUUUUUAUCGUUUUCUUUUGAGUGUAUGUCAUUGUAUUAGAAAAGUUCAUAUUUGCUAUUUUUUGGCUAACAAAAAUUUGUUAUUCUUAAACAUAUUAAAAUUAUAAAUUACAAAAAAAAAAAACCACUUCAGCAAAAUAUACACUUUCAAUUUCGAAGUCUUGAUUUCAUAUCGAUCUCACGUGUAUGCACAUAUAAUCCAAGAAACAGAAAUAGCCCGUCAUCAAUUGCAUAAGAAGUAACACAUCAAAUUAAACUACAAACAUUGAAGACUAAAAAAACAAAAACAAAAGAAAGAAAGAAAGAAGAAGAAAUAAUUACUUAAAGGAGGUAUAACAUGUGACCAUCUUCUUCUAUAUAUAUAUAUAUAUAUAUAAUCUUCCUCAUCUUCAGAGGCUUACAUGGCAACUCGUUGCCAGCUGAUACUUGACGACGUUGUCACCAACCAUAAUUCCACUAGUUCUGCUACCAAACUGAAUGUAAGCAGGACACCUGACAUGCAAAUUGUAUUUCGCAGACAUAAAGGUUCCGACUUUGAAUCGAACUCGACCAUCAAUCUUGAUCAUCAGCAUCACAACUCCAGCACCUUGGUCUUGACUUAAUGCAGCUGAAUUGUACGGAGAUACCGGCACGGAGUUGCCGCAAAUAAAAGGGGACCAAACAUUAGUCUCUUUGUGUCCUUGGUAAGCAGAAGGUAUGGAAGUUCGUAGAGUUAUUUGUUGGUCACGGUAUGUGCCAUAAAUAUCGAGUCUAUCAUAGUAGAUUCCGACUCUAUCAUCCGGGUUGCGAGAGGAUACGGUGACUUGGAAGUUGG
This 2222-nucleotide long non-coding RNA is filed under the name Populus tremula. RNAcentral describes it as "long non-coding RNA (PTRE_LNC002503)". The record is from RNAcentral. Lineage: Eukaryota; Viridiplantae; Streptophyta; Magnoliopsida; Malpighiales; Salicaceae.